ACGAGAGUCGUUAGGUAAAGCAAAAGAAACCAGAAAUACAACAAUUGCUACUCUGGUUUCCAAACAUACUUGUUUUGUUCCAUUUCUGUUUGUUUUGGCCACUGUGCCUUUUUGUUUUGUAUAAGUGUUUUGUUUGGCUUGUUUAAAUCUUUUAUUUUGUUCUGUCUUGUCCCUGGUCUGACAUCAUCCACAAGCCAUCUUGACACACCUACUUUUAAAGAUCAGAAGACAACAUCUUAAGUUUGUAUUUGUGUUGUGCACUUGAGGGCCACCCUAAUUACGACCUCGUCUGAGCCUCACAAUCUUUUUGGUGCAGGAAGGAAAAUGGGCUCACCCAAGUAAAGUGAAAAUAAAGCAAAAAAAAAAAAA
Acipenser ruthenus (sterlet) is the source of this 369-nucleotide long non-coding RNA. RefSeq lists it as uncharacterized. The transcript has 2 exons. The record is from RefSeq and is a predicted model, not a curated record. Lineage: Eukaryota; Metazoa; Chordata; Actinopteri; Acipenseriformes; Acipenseridae.